RNAcentral lists this transfer RNA (92 nucleotides) under Eggerthellaceae bacterium. RNAcentral's name for it is "tRNA-Ser". It matches the Rfam family "tRNA". Rfam says of the family: Transfer RNA (tRNA) molecules are approximately 80 nucleotides in length. Their secondary structure includes four short double-helical elements and three loops (D, anti-codon, and T loops). Further hydrogen bonds mediate the characteristic L-shaped molecular structure. tRNAs have two regions of fundamental functional importance: the anti-codon, which is responsible for specific mRNA codon recognition, and the 3' end, to which the tRNAs corresponding amino acid is attached (by aminoacyl-tRNA synthetases). tRNAs cope with the degeneracy of the genetic code in two manners: having more than one tRNA (with a specific anti-codon) for a particular amino acid; and 'wobble' base-pairing, i.e. permitting non-standard base-pairing at the 3rd anti-codon position. The record is from RNAcentral. RNAcentral also lists the same sequence under 2 other names. Lineage: Bacteria; Bacillati; Actinomycetota; Coriobacteriia; Eggerthellales; Eggerthellaceae.
GGAGAGAUGUCCGAGCUGGCCGAAGGAGCACGAUUGGAAAUCGUGUAUACCCCAAAAGGGUAUCCGGGGUUCAAAUCCCCGUCUCUCCGCCA